CAGAAUGAGAAUUGGAAAUGGAUGAAAAUGAUAUAGAAUUGAUGGAUUACUUCAGGAGGGAUAGUACAAGCACCAACAGAGAAUGUGGUGGAUUCUCAGUGAGAUUGUAGAAGGAUUAGUUCACGUUCAUUCAUAGGGUAUUAUGAUUCAAGUAAACCUUUUUGGACAUUUUUGGGUUUGCUUGAAAACUGCCACUCAAGGCUUCCACUUGAAAAUAUGAAGAUCAUAAGAAAAAACAAGCAUUAAAGUGACGAAGAAUUUAUAGCUACUGUUUUUUAAUGUCAUAUACUUUGUAUAGAUGUCUAUAUCCGGAGAACGGUAACCAAUGCUCGGCACAGCAGCUUCUUGGACAUCGUUUUAUCUCUCCAAAUCCCAUGUCGUACGGUUUAGCAAAUAACAUCACUUCAGAUAAGCUUGACGCUGAAAAAGAUCAAGGAGAAAUCAAAAUAGCUGUUAUGAUGGAGAUGAGUAUCCUUAUUUGAUGCCUAUUCCUUUCGGCUACGCUGCGAGAAAUGCAAGAGUUCGAAAUGAAUUUGAGGUGUUGCAAAUGCUUAAAAAAAGGAGGGUUUGCUUCAGUUGUCAAGGUACGUAAUGAAUUGGACGGCUGUCUCUAUGCGAUCAAAAGAAUUGCUUUGAUUCCGAAAAGUGUGCUGUUUAAUCGCAAAAUUACUCGAGGAGAGAA
Molecule: long non-coding RNA, 682 nt
Organism: Xenia sp. Carnegie-2017
Lineage: Eukaryota; Metazoa; Cnidaria; Anthozoa; Malacalcyonacea; Xeniidae
Exons: 4
Source: RefSeq, a predicted model, not a curated record